GCACAAGCAGUGGAGUAUGUGGUUUAAUUCGAAGCAACGCGAAGAACCUUACCAAGUCUUGACAUCCCUUGACAGACAUAGAAAUAUGUAAUCUCUUCGGAGCAAGGAGACAGGUGGUGCAUGGUUGUCGUCAGCUCGUGUCGUGAGAUGUUGGGUUAAGUCCCGCAACGAGCGCAACCCUUAUGGUCAGUUACUACGCAAGAGGACUCUGGCCAGACUGCCGUUGACAAAA
RNAcentral lists this ribosomal RNA (232 nucleotides) under uncultured bacterium. Its description in RNAcentral is "partial 16S ribosomal RNA". It matches the Rfam family "Bacterial small subunit ribosomal RNA", at positions 923 to 1163 of the family's 1533-position model. The record is from RNAcentral.